This 30-nucleotide non-coding RNA is filed under the name Homo sapiens (human). Lineage: Eukaryota; Metazoa; Chordata; Mammalia; Primates; Hominidae. The record is from RNAcentral.
UGCACUUCUGUGUGGGAGGUGGAAAUGGGA